Molecule: ribosomal RNA, 413 nt
Filed under: uncultured bacterium
Lineage: Bacteria
Description: bacterial SSU rRNA
Rfam family: Bacterial small subunit ribosomal RNA
Source: RNAcentral
GGGCCCGCACAAGCGGUGGAGCAUGUGGUUUAAUUUGAUGCAACGCGAAGAACCUUACCAGGGUUUGACAUGACAGGAAUUUUUCUGAGAAGAGAAAGUGCCUUUUUUAGGAACCUGUAUACAGGUGGUGCAUGGCUGUCGUCAGCUCGUGUCGUGAGAUGUUGGGUUAAGUCCCGCAACGAGCGCAACCCUUGUUUUUAGUUACUUUUCUAGAAAGACUGCCGGUUAUAAGCCGGAGGAAGGCGGGGACGACGUCAAGUCAGCAUGCCCCUUACACCCUGGGCUACACACGUGCUACAUUGGAUAAGACAAUGAGUCGCGAACCUGUGAAGGUCAGCAAAUCUAUAAACUUAUUCUAAGUUCGGAUUGUAGGCUGCAACUCGCCUACAUGAAGCUGGAAUCGCUAGUAAUCG